GUAAAUAUGAUCCGUUUGCGACACGACGUGUCGGUUUUCCCAGAAACUUGGCACCUGGGCCCCUCGGAGCGGAGCCGGGCGGGGGCGCGGCGGCGGGACUCCAGCCCUUCCGCUCGGCGGCCCCGGGGCUCGGGGGACCCUGAGUUCGGAGAUCCGAGCCGUGGGCGCGGGGGGCCGCUCUCCCAGGACCUUCCGGGCGCUGGGCCGCCUCACCCCCGAGGCCCCGACGCCCUACCGCGGGGGUCGGGAAAGCGUUUCCUCCGCGCCGCCAGCCUGCGCGGGGUCCCGGGCGCGCCAGGGCGCCGCUCCCGGUGCUCCGGGCACCGCCGGCUAGGCGACCGCAGCCGCCACCCUGGGCUCCCUGCCCGGGGCAGGCGGAGGAAGGCGCGGGGAACAAAGCCGAGGCGGUGGGCCGCCCGCCCCGAGCCCCGGGCGUCUGGACUCGCCCCCACGCCACCCCUCCCCAUCGCCCCCCUUACCUGGGUGGAGAGCCCGACAGCCGCCCGGGCCCCCGAUCGGCGACACGGCCGUUCCCCCGGGGUCCCGUGUGCGCGCGGGGCGGCGCCGGCCGAGUUGGAGAAGUUGCCGGGGUCACUUCGUCCACGCGCGGGCGCUCAGCCUCCGGCAGCCGCGACUACCCCUCGCCCCGCGCGCAGCGCCUUUGGUGGCGAGAGGAGCCGCACCUUCCUCCGGGGCCGCUGGGCCCGCCUCCUCCCCGCCCCCGCCGCCCAGCCCAGCCCAGCCCACCCCCCACCAUCUCCCCAGCAAAAGCCCCCACCUCAGCCCCAGGCCGGCGCGCAUCCGCAGCUGCGCCCACCAAACCAGCCCCCCGACCCUCCUUCACCCGCUCCCGCCCCCGUACCUCGCGAUCGCCUACUGCCCUUUCUUUCUAGGACGUCCCCAACUAAUCAACAGCGAGAACUCCGCGAGCUUCGAUGGUGCAGCAUGCAGGAUCUGAGUUCCCUUACCAGGGAUCAAACCCAUACCAUCUGCAGUGGAAGGAUGGAACUGUAACCACCAGACCACCAGGGAAUUCCCUGAUUGUUCUACGUUGAUAAAACUCAUGUUAUUGUAAGUUUGUUUCAUUUUCCAUAACUUAUGAAAUCUGAUAAGCAUAUCUGAAAAUGUAAAAGCAUUUUCUGAAUCAACAUAAAAUAUCAAUUUUAAUGCUUCUAUACCUUAAAGAGGUCCAGUCAAUUCUUGAGUGACAGAUGGUUAUGUAGCCAGCCUUUAUUUUCACUGGAGCCCUCAGCCAAGGAAAUGUGUUUGCUGAACCCAUAAACUUUCCAUGAAAUGCAAGAC
Bos taurus (domestic cattle) is the source of this 1302-nucleotide long non-coding RNA. The record is from Ensembl. Lineage: Eukaryota; Metazoa; Chordata; Mammalia; Artiodactyla; Bovidae.